RNAcentral lists this ribosomal RNA (454 nucleotides) under uncultured bacterium. Its description in RNAcentral is "bacterial SSU rRNA". It matches the Rfam family "Bacterial small subunit ribosomal RNA", at positions 340 to 786 of the family's 1533-position model. The record is from RNAcentral.
UACGGGAGGCAGCAGUGGGGAAUAUUGCACAAUGGGCGCAAGCCUGAUGCAGCCAUGCCGCGUGUAUGAAGAAGGCCUUCGGGUUGUAAAGUACUUUCAGUCGUGAGGAAGGUGUUAAGGUUAAUAACCUUAGCAAUUGACGUUAGCGACAGAAGAAGCACCGGCUAACUCCGUGCCAGCAGCCGCGGUAAUACGGAGGGUGCGAGCGUUAAUCGGAAUUACUGGGCGUAAAGGGCACGCAGGCGGUUAAUUAAGUUGGAUGUGAAAUCCCCGGGCUUAACCUGGGAAUGGCAUUCAAGACUGGUUAGCUAGAGUCUUGUAGAGGGGGUAGAAUUCCAUGUGUAGCGGUGAAAUGCGUAGAGAUGUGGAGGAAUACCGGUGGGCGAAGGCGGCCCCUGGGACAAAGACUGACGCUCAUGUGCGAAAGCGUGGGGAGCAAACAGGGAUAGAUACC